Molecule: ribosomal RNA, 500 nt
Filed under: bacterium
Lineage: Bacteria
Description: bacterial SSU rRNA
Rfam family: Bacterial small subunit ribosomal RNA
Source: RNAcentral
CUUGCUCUCGGGUGACGAGUGGCGGACGGGUGAGUAAUGUCUGGGAAACUGCCUGAUGGAGGGGGAUAACUACUGGAAACGGUAGCUAAUACCGCAUAACGUCGCAAGACCAAAGAGGGGGACCUUCGGGCCUCUUGCCAUCAGAUGUGCCCAGAUGGGAUUAGCUAGUAGGUGGGGUAACGGCUCACCUAGGCGACGAUCCCUAGCUGGUCUGAGAGGAUGACCAGCCACACUGGAACUGAGACACGGUCCAGACUCCUACGGGAGGCAGCAGUGGGGAAUAUUGCACAAUGGGCGCAAGCCUGAUGCAGCCAUGCCGCGUGUAUGAAGAAGGCCUUCGGGUUGUAAAGUACUUUCAGCGGGGAGGAAGGUGAUGAGGUUAAUAACCUCGUCAAUUGACGUUACCCGCAGAAGAAGCACCGGCUAACUCCGUGCCAGCAGCCGCGGUAAUACGGAGGGUGCAAGCGUUAAUCGGAAUUACUGGGCGUAAAGCGCACGCA